This 253-nucleotide ribosomal RNA is filed under the name uncultured bacterium. Its description in RNAcentral is "partial 16S ribosomal RNA". It matches the Rfam family "Bacterial small subunit ribosomal RNA", at positions 524 to 776 of the family's 1533-position model. The record is from RNAcentral.
UACGUAGGUGGCAAGCGUUGUCCGGAUUUACUGGGCGUAAAGAGCGCGCAGGCGGUCGUUCAAGUCGCGUGUGAAAGCCCCCGGCUCAACUGGGGAGGGUCACGCGAUACUGAUCGACUCGAAGGCAGGAGAGGGUAGUGGAAUUCCCGGUGUAGUGGUGAAAUGCGUAGAUAUCGGGAGGAACACCGGUGGCGAAGGCGCCACUCUGGGCCGAAACUGACGCUGAGGAGCGAAAGCGUGGGUAGCAAACAGG